UAAUAGACUACCCUGGUAGUCCCACGCCCUAAACGAUGCGAACUGGAUGUUGGGUACAUUACGGUGCUCGAGUGUCGAAGCUAACGCGUUAAGUUCGCCGCCUGGGGAGUACGGUCGCAAGACUGAAACUCAAAGGAAUUGACGGGGGCCCGCACAAGCGGUGGAGUAUGUGGUUUAAUUCGAUGCAACGCGAAGAACCUUACCUGGCCCUGACAUCUGUCGAAUCCUGCAGAGAUGCGGGAGUGCCGCAAGGAACGACAAGACAGGUGCUGCAUGGCUGUCGUCAGCUCGUGUCGUGAGAUGUUGGGUUAAGUCCCGCAACGAGCGCAACCCUUGUCCCUAGUUGCCAGCACGUAAUGGUGGGAACUCUAGGGAGACUGCCGGUGACAAACCGGAGGAAGGUGGGGAUGACGUCAAGUCCUCAUGGCCCUUACGGCCAGGGCUACACACGUACUACAAUGGUCGGUACAGAGGGUUGCGAAGCCGCGAGGUGGAGCCAAUCCCAAGAAAACCGAUCCCGAGUCCGGAUCGGAGUCUG
RNAcentral lists this ribosomal RNA (538 nucleotides) under uncultured bacterium. RNAcentral describes it as "bacterial SSU rRNA". It matches the Rfam family "Bacterial small subunit ribosomal RNA", at positions 776 to 1307 of the family's 1533-position model. The record is from RNAcentral.